UACAGAGGUCCCAAGCGUUGUUCGGAUUCACUGGGCGUAAAGGGUGCGUAGGUGGCAUGGUAAGUUUGAUGUGAAAGCUCAGGGCUCAACCCUGAAAUGGCAUUGAAUACUACUGUGCUGGAGGUUUGGAGGGGGGACUGGAAUUCUUGGUGUAGCAGUGAAAUGCGUAGAUAUCAAGAGGAACACCAGUGGCGAAGGCGAGUCCCUGGACAACACCUGACACUGAGGCACGAAAGCCGGGGGAGCAAACAGG
RNAcentral lists this ribosomal RNA (253 nucleotides) under uncultured bacterium. Its description in RNAcentral is "partial 16S ribosomal RNA". It matches the Rfam family "Bacterial small subunit ribosomal RNA", at positions 524 to 776 of the family's 1533-position model. RNAcentral also lists the same sequence under 1 other name. The record is from RNAcentral.